AGGUUCCGGUCAUCUUGAGUGUGGUACAGCCAGAUACUCCGCCCAUCUCUGCCCCCCCCCCCACUUCCCCGCUAAAUAGACAGACAUGAACUGGGGCGGGGGGGGGGAGCCUAUUAAAUUGAUUUGUGAAUGAAAAUAGGGGAAUGUUAAAGAUUCGCUGAAAGAAACGCCUGGUUCCAUCAAAAUGUAUCUUGAGCUUCAUUUGAAAGAUGCCAUUGUCCCUACCGACCAAGGUGUUUCCUUUAAAAAAAAACGAAACAGUAAAGGAAUGUGCCAAAAGAAGAAUUAAGGGCGACAUGAUAGCAGUAUUCCAGUAUUCGAAGAGCUGCCACAAAGAAGGGGUAUCAAAUUAUUCUCCAAAAAGCACCAGAGGGCAGGACAAGAAACAAUGGUUGGAAACUAACCAAAGAGAGAAACAAUCUGAAAUUAAGGAGAAACUUCCUAACAGGAUAAUUAACCAAUGGAACAGCUUGCCUUCAGAAAUCGUGCUCCAUCAUUGGAGGUUUUUAAGAAGAAACUAGAGAGCCACUAUAUCUGAAAUGGUAUAGGUUCUCCUGCUUGAGCAGAGGGCUGGACUAGAAGACUCCCAAGAUGGCUGCCAUAUUGGUGAAGAGAGACUAAAACUGACUGCUUAGUUUCUAAGAGUGAAAUGAGAUGGAGGUGAGGUGAUGGCAUGAGAAUGUAUCCCUCAAACAAGAAUCUUUUGCUGCAGCUGAUGGGACAUGAGAGUGAAUUCUGUGUCAGAAAUUGAUAUUUUGCAACCAGCCUGUUUUCCAAGGUGAAGAGCCCGCAAUGGAGGUAGUCGUUCCAAGUCAAGAGGGAAUCUGUAUAGUCCCUCCCAACAGCCACACUGUUGGGGGCAAUCUCCCUGGAGGAUCUAACUCAGGUCACAUCUGGGUUGGGUUGCCUGAAUGCAGUGAGGUCCCAGGAGUUCCCAACUGCCUUCAUUCAUCAUCUUCUGGUCAGCGGAUUGGAACUCAAACUGUUUCAUUCAAAGAGAUUUAUUCCCCUUCCCCUUCCCAAUCCGCUGGGAAUAAAUACCUCAUUAAUUGGGAUAA
Pantherophis guttatus is the source of this 1058-nucleotide long non-coding RNA. RefSeq lists it as uncharacterized. The record is from RefSeq and is a predicted model, not a curated record. NCBI's taxonomy places the organism in Eukaryota, Metazoa, Chordata, Lepidosauria, Squamata, Colubridae.